RNAcentral lists this small nuclear RNA (185 nucleotides) under Moschus moschiferus (Siberian musk deer). RNAcentral describes it as "U2 spliceosomal RNA (ENSMMSG00000016117.1)". It matches the Rfam family "U2 spliceosomal RNA". Rfam says of the family: U2 is a small nuclear RNA (snRNA) component of the spliceosome (involved in pre-mRNA splicing). Complementary binding between U2 snRNA (in an area lying towards the 5' end but 3' to hairpin I) and the branchpoint sequence (BPS) of the intron results the bulging out of an unpaired adenosine, on the BPS, which initiates a nucleophilic attack at the intronic 5' splice site, thus starting the first of two transesterification reactions that mediate splicing. The record is from Rfam by way of RNAcentral. Lineage: Eukaryota; Metazoa; Chordata; Mammalia; Artiodactyla; Moschidae.
CUCGCUUCUAGGCCUUUUGGCUAAGAUCAAGUGUAGUACCCCAUUUGAUGGAUAAGGAAACUGAGGUGUUCAUGGAAAUGAAGUAGCUGACCUAAGAUCACACAGGUGUUGAGUAGUGGAGUCAGGAUUUGGAUCCAGCAGCCUGACUCCUAAGAUCAUUACACUUUUCAGAGAAUGAAAACAUA